ACGCUAGCUACAGGCUUAACACAUGCAAGUCGAGGGGCAGCAUGGAAGAAGCUUGCUUCUUCUGAUGGCGACCGGCGCACGGGUGCGUAACGCGUAUCAAACCUGCCUCAUACUCGGGGAUAGCCUUGCGAAAGUAAGAUUAAUACCCGAUGUUGUUAUGUUGCCGCAUGGUGAUAUAACCAAAGAUUUAUCGGUAUGAGAUGGUGAUGCGUCCGAUUAGGUAGUAGGCGGGGUAACGGCCCACCUAGCCUUCGAUCGGUAGGGGUUCUGAGAGGAAGGUCCCCCACACUGGAACUGAGACACGGUCCAGACUCCUACGGGAGGCAGCAGUGAGGAAUAUUGGUCAAUGGACGGAAGUCUGAACCAGCCAAGUAGCGUGCAGGAUGACGGCCCUCCGGGUUGUAAGCUGCUUUUAGUUGGGAAUAAAAAAGAGGACGUGUCCUCUAUUGUAUGUACCUUCAGAAAAAGGACCGGCUAAUUCCGUGCCAGCAGCCGCGGUAAUACGGAAGGUCCAGGCGUUAUCCGGAUUUAUUGGGUUUAAAGGGAGCGUAGGCGGAUUAUUAAGUCAGUGGUGAAAGACGGUGGCUCAACCAUCGUUAGCCAUUGAAACUGGUAGUCUUGAGUGCAGACAGGGAUGCUGGAACUCGUGGUGUAGCGGUGAAAUGCUUAGAUAUCACGAUGAACUCCGAUCGCGAAGGCAGGUGUCCGGGCUGCAACUGACGCUGAGGCUCGAAAGUGUGGGUAUCAAACAGGAUUAGAUACCCUGGUAGUCCACACAGUAAACGAUGUAUACUCGCGGUUUGCGAUACAAUGUAAGCCGCCAAGCGAAAGCAUUAAGUAUACCACCUGGGGAGUACGCCGGCAACGGUGAAACUCAAAGGAAUUGACGGGGGCCCGCACAAGCGGAGGAACAUGUGGUUU
RNAcentral lists this ribosomal RNA (921 nucleotides) under uncultured bacterium. RNAcentral's name for it is "bacterial SSU rRNA". It matches the Rfam family "Bacterial small subunit ribosomal RNA", at positions 33 to 947 of the family's 1533-position model. The record is from RNAcentral.